GCAGCAGGAGAGAACGAUGGCCAGCUAGGGUUCCAGCGACUCCCAUCGUCGCCGUUUUCCAACGUCUACCCAUCUCUUUCCUCAAGCCUUCCCUUCAUUUCAGUUCCAAAAACGUCAACCCAUCGAUGUUUGAAGCCCCGUUGACGGUGGUAGAUGUGCGAGCAGAAAGAGAGAAAGGGGGAAUCAGAUGGUGGUUUGAUCAUCUACAACUUCGAUACCGGCGAAGAUAAGCGAUGUCAUUUUAAUCUAUGAUUCUACAACCAGAUCAACAAGAUUCCUCCGAUCAGGUGAUUAGGUGCUUAGGAUGAUGUGCUUUAUCUGCUUUUGUGGAAUCAAGUAGGAUGGAGUCUAGAAACAAAGACAAUUUAUUUAUUGAAUCUGAGUUGUCGGAACAUGUUUUGUUUUGAGAAUAUCUAUUUCUGUAAUAAUUAGAUUACUUAAUGGGUUAUGGUAUG
RNAcentral lists this long non-coding RNA (455 nucleotides) under Helianthus annuus (common sunflower). RNAcentral's name for it is "hypothetical non coding rna". The record is from RNAcentral. Lineage: Eukaryota; Viridiplantae; Streptophyta; Magnoliopsida; Asterales; Asteraceae.